Molecule: long non-coding RNA, 737 nt
Filed under: Amphimedon queenslandica
Lineage: Eukaryota; Metazoa; Porifera; Demospongiae; Haplosclerida; Niphatidae
Description: uncharacterized LOC109581072, transcript variant X1
Rfam family: Archaeal large subunit ribosomal RNA (bases 1-184)
Source: RNAcentral
CCUGGUUUUCUCAUAUCGGGUCACAUUUGAAUAAGGACAACUCAACGGCCGCAGUAUCUCUGACCGUGAUAAUGUAGCAUAGUAACUAGCCAAUUAAUUGUUGGCACGUAUGAAAGGCUUCACGAGUGUCCCGCUGUCUCGAGAUAUAACCCAGUGAAAUUGAAUUUGUAGUGAAGAUGCUACAUACAAUAAGGACCAUAGGAGAUUUACUGGCAACCACAAUCACAAUUGUAUCAGAGAGUUUUUGUCUGUAAAUCCAUAACUAAUUGAUGGUUUGUAUGACCUUUCUCGCAAGUCUGUUUCCAACAUCUUUUUCAAUUAUGAAUUGGAAGAUGAGCAAAGAGAGCAGGAAGGGCAAGCCACUACUUUAGUGAUCAAGAGCAGGCUAUGCUGAGAAUAGAUGAAUACCGAGUAGCAUCAAUAUAUGAACAUUAGGAAUGUUCAGAUGAAUGUAAACAGAGAGUUGGCAAUAGAGAAAAAACUGCUUGAAGGUGUUGCUACUUAAAACUCUCCUAUCAUUGUUUAAGAUAAAGACAAAGCCAUCAAGCCAACUAAGGAUGAAGCCAGUGACCAUUCUAGCUAUGGUGUGCAUUCCUUGUUAGCGCUCUUAGAACAAAGGAUAGGUGCCACCAACCUAGAAAAACAAAGAUAAAACAUUUAAAACUGAUUCUUAAAUUCACUCUCAAAAGAUUAUAUUUAUCAUGAUAAGAAUUGUCAAGAUAUUUGUGGGUAAAGAA